Molecule: long non-coding RNA, 987 nt
Filed under: Hordeum vulgare
Lineage: Eukaryota; Viridiplantae; Streptophyta; Magnoliopsida; Poales; Poaceae
Description: long non-coding RNA (HVUL_LNC014790)
Source: RNAcentral
GUUCCUGCAAACAAAGAUUAGCAGCUGAGACGGAAGAACAACCCCAAGUGUGCAUCCAGCAUGGAAGCAAGUUAAUAAUACAGUUCAGUGUCAAAAAUACUGGAACACAAGCUAAUAGAGCUAAAUAAAUUAGAGAGUUCAGUGUCACAAACAUUGGAACAAGCUACUCCAAUUUAUUUCGACUAAUACGCUGCUAAUCUCAUUGGAGGAAUCAAAAGGCCCGUUUGGUUGUAAUCUGCAGUUCUUCGUGCACAAACACCAUCUGUCAGAGAAGCAUGACAUGCAAUUCUUUGACUGAAAGAAGCCCAUGAGGGAGGCUAACAUAUAUGGAUUUGCCAGUCGCCACCCCAAUCAGCUCUCAGAGCAAAGAAAAUCCAGUCUUGGCACAAAACAUCAGAUCCUCCAACAUUUGAAGCUGAAAACAUCUAACCUGAAGGUAAAGGUUCUGCUCCAGUUUUGCUAGGCUCGAUUUCUGGUAGCACUAUCCAAGUUCCACUGCACAUGUAGGUUCAUGUAUUUCCUGUAAAGAAUAACAUAAUUAAAUAGUGGUCACAGACCAUGAUGGCUUCAACUUGCAUAAAGAAGGCAACCAAAAGAGAAGCACCUCAUAUGUCAACAGCAAAACCAGAGUCAAUAGGAAACAUCACAAGAUAGUUUGAGAGGCAACAGUUCAAAUACUCUCGGACGAAGACGCUGCAUAGUUCAUAAAAAAACUAUAUAUCACCGACAUAUGUAUGUAUAAUACAUCAAACUGGUCGUGACGUUCAUCUAGAUCAAUGGAAAAGUAGCAACUAAUAUAAGUUACCAGCAUACCGAAAUACGCACAAAUACUUCAAUACACAAACUCAGGUACACACAGAUAUUUUCUAAGUAAAAUCAGCUCUUACAAAUAAAAAAAGAGAGAGUAAAAUCAGCUCAUGAUGGCGCCUCCAAUGAUUUUACAGCUUUGAUAAUGAUCUCCAUUCCUAACAAUAGUUCUGGAACUCC